AUUGAACGCUGGCGGCAGGCCUAACACAUGCAAGUCGAGCGGGGUUUUCGGACCUAGCGGCGGACGGGUGAGUAAAGCGUAGGAAGCUGCCCGAUAGAGGGGGAUACCAGUUGGAAACGACUGUUAAUACCGCAUAAUGUCUACGGACCAAAGUGUGGGACCUUCGGGCCACAUGCUCUCGGAUGCGCCUACGUGGGAUUAGCUAGUUGGUGAGGUAAUGGCUCACCAAGGCGACGAUCUAUAGCUGGUUUGAGAGGAUGAUCAGCCACACUGGAACUGAGACACGGUCCAGACUCCUACGGGAGGCAGCAGUGGGGAAUAUUGGACAAUGGGCGCAAGCCUGAUCCAGCCAUGCCGCGUGUGUGAAGAAGGCCUUCGGGUUGUAAAGCACUUUCAGCGAGGAGGAAGGGUGGUGUGUUAAUAGCUCAUCAUUUUGACGUUACUCGCAGAAGAAGCACCGGCUAACUCUGUGCCAGCCGCCGCGGUAA
RNAcentral lists this ribosomal RNA (488 nucleotides) under uncultured bacterium. Its description in RNAcentral is "partial 16S ribosomal RNA". It matches the Rfam family "Bacterial small subunit ribosomal RNA", at positions 30 to 523 of the family's 1533-position model. The record is from RNAcentral.